RNAcentral lists this ribosomal RNA (274 nucleotides) under uncultured bacterium. RNAcentral describes it as "partial 16S ribosomal RNA". It matches the Rfam family "Bacterial small subunit ribosomal RNA", at positions 523 to 796 of the family's 1533-position model. The record is from RNAcentral.
AUACGAAGGGGGCUAGCGUUGUUCGGAAUUACUGGGCGUAAAGCGCGCGUAGGCGGAUUGGUCAGUUAGGGGUGAAAUCCCAGGGCUUAACCCUGGGACUGCCUCUAAUACUGCCAGUCUUGAGUUCGGGAGAGGUGAGUGGAAUUCCUAGUGUAGAGGUGAAAUUCGUAGAUAUUAGGAAGAACACCAGUGGCGAAGGCGGCUCACUGGCCCGAUACUGACGCUGAGGCGCGAAAGCGUGGGGAGCAAACAGGAUUAGAUACCCUAGUAGUCC